CCUACUAGAGAUCAGAAAAGGUAUAUAAUGAGAGAUCUCCAUUAGUGAGCAUGCCACCAGCCACAGGUGGCCCACUGCCACCAGAGCUGGCCACGGGCCCACUUCCAGCUGCUACUAAUGAUGGAGCCAAAACCCUCACUGCUAGCCAUCACCCCCCUCCAGAUCUGGUACAGAGCCCAGAAAAGGAAGCCUUAGGUGUGAGUGACGCCUCAGUGAACACAUACACGUCAGCAAUGGACCAGCUGCUGCCAAGUCACACAACUAUGCAACACGUUGCUCACACAGAAACGCCAAUGGUCACCAGCAGAGUGCAAACAUUACUAUGACAAUGGAGCAGAGGCCCAGGGCGGCACUGAGCCUUGGUAAGAGCCGACGGAAGUGGCAGGUCACAAGCCCAGUUGCUGAGAGGAGAACUGCAAUGCAGCAACACUUAUAUGCCACUUAAUUUGGGUCAUGUACUAGUGUGGAUGCUUUAUUUAUUCAUUUAACUUUCACCACAUUUAACUUCACCAACUCUAUAUGCUGUAAGGAUUUUUAUUAUCUCCCUUAUAAACAAUCUGAGGCACAGAGAGGUUACAUAACUUGCCCAAGGUCACACAGAAACAACUGGUAGAACCAGGAUCAAAAUGAAGAUAAUCUGGCUCAGGAGUCCCUUACUU
Long non-coding RNA from Cercocebus atys (sooty mangabey), 659 nucleotides. RefSeq lists it as uncharacterized. The record is from RefSeq and is a predicted model, not a curated record. The transcript is spliced from 4 exons. Lineage: Eukaryota; Metazoa; Chordata; Mammalia; Primates; Cercopithecidae.